UACGGGGGGGGCAAGCGUUGUUCGGAAUUACUGGGCGUAAAGGGCUCGUAGGCGGCCAACUAAGUCAUACGUGAAAUCCCUCGGCUUAACCGGGGAACUGCGUCUGAUACUGGAUGGCUUGAGAUUGGGAGAGGGAUGCGGAAUUCCUGGUGUAGCGGUGAAAUGCGCAGAUAUCAGGAAGAACACCUAUGGCGAAGGCAGCUCUCUGGGACGGUACUGACGCUGAGACGCGAAAGCGUGGGGAGCGAACAGG
RNAcentral lists this ribosomal RNA (253 nucleotides) under uncultured bacterium. Its description in RNAcentral is "partial 16S ribosomal RNA". It matches the Rfam family "Bacterial small subunit ribosomal RNA", at positions 524 to 776 of the family's 1533-position model. The record is from RNAcentral.